This is an RNA transcript of Otolemur garnettii (small-eared galago), 1041 nucleotides long. It is a transcript of the gene named ferritin heavy chain pseudogene, with no coding region annotated. NCBI's taxonomy places the organism in Eukaryota, Metazoa, Chordata, Mammalia, Primates, Galagidae. The record is from RefSeq and is a predicted model, not a curated record. The transcript has 2 exons.
AUGGCAAUGCCCUCCAGCUCCCUGCUGGCUCCUGUGACCUGCACACAGCAGUACCCCAGACUGGCAGUACUACCCUCGACAGUGGCAGCACCACUGCUGACAGUGGCAGCAGCUCCAGAGUUCCUCCCACUGGGAUUUAAACUUAAGACACUACGAGAAGUUCUUCACCGAGUUGCCACAGUUUCCUGCUUCAACAGUGCUUGGACGGAAACGGCGCUCAUCCCCCAUCCCAGCUGGCUGCUCACAGCCAGCCUUCUGACACCUCCUCACCACACCCUCAGACAGUCCCAAGGCCCCCGGUGCCACUCCAGCACCGCACAGCUACCACCUCUCCUCAGCCACUGCCAUGACUACCACAUCCCCCUUGCAGGUGCGCCAGAACUACCACCAGGACUGGGAGGCCGCCAUCAACUGCCAGAUCAACCUGGAGCUCUACACCUCCUGCGUCUACCUGUCCAUGUCUUACUACUUUGACUGCGAUGAUGUGGCUUUGAAGAAUUUUGCCAAAUACUUUCUUCACCAAUCUCAUGAGAAACUGAUGAAGCUGCAGAAUUAACAAGGUGGCCGAAUCUUCCUUCAGGAUAUCAAAAAAACAGACUGUGAUGACUGGGUGAGUGGGCUGAAUGCAAUGGAGUGUGUGUUACACUUGGAAAAAAGUGUGAAUCAGUCACUACUGGAACUGUACAAACUGGCCACUGACAAAAAUGAUCCCCACUUGUGUCACUUCAUUGAGAAACAUUACCUGAAUGAGCAGGUGAAAUCCAUCAAAGAACUGGGUGACCACGUAACCUACCUGUGCAAGAUAGGAGUCCCUGAAUCUGGCAUCGCAGAGUAUCUCUUUGACAAGCACACCCUGGGAAACAGUGAUAAUGAGAGCUAAGCCUUAGGCUAACUUCCCCAUAGUCACGGGGUGACUUCCAUGAUCACCAAGGCAGUGCAUGCAUGUUGGGGUUUCCUUUACCUUUUCUAUAAGUUGUACCAGAACAUCCACUUAAAUUCUUUCAUUUGUACCAUUCCUUCAAAUAAAGAAAUUUGGUACCC